This is a non-coding RNA of Arachis ipaensis, 1923 nucleotides long. Lineage: Eukaryota; Viridiplantae; Streptophyta; Magnoliopsida; Fabales; Fabaceae. The record is from RefSeq and is a predicted model, not a curated record.
UCACUUAGUGCCAACCUAAGCCAAGCAUUUUUGAGUUUCUUAAGCUACACUCAUAUUUGUUGUUAUUUUCCGACAGUGUUUGUUGAUCUUAUGGUACCCUUCAACUUAUAGUUUUCUAGAUGUGGUCACUACUGUUAGUACAUAAAUCAUCAUAAUGAAAAUCCCUAGGAUGGUUCUCUUGUAGCUUUUACCUUUGAUGGUGCAAUGAUUGAUUUGAUGAUGUGCAAGCUUCAGCCCUUCACCAGGCCAUAUAAUUCAACCUUCCUUCUGAGGUGCUUGCAUCUCCAAUGUUAUCAACCUGCCCUUGGUGCCAAGAAAGAAAGUAAAAAAUAAUUGUUGUAUAGGUUUCUAUCCUACUCAACCCAGGACUAGUUUCGUUGGCUAAGGAGAGAAAAUGAAAAGAAAGAAAAUAGAGGGAGACGAAUAUGAAUUUUUUUUUAAUUUGGUUGAGUAGAAUAGUGAGUAAAGCAAAAUGUUAUUGUAAGGUAUCUAUAUAUAUGGAAGAAAAAUAAAAUACAAGGAUAGAAUUGUGAUUAUAAAUAUAUGCAUUUUCUCCCCACAUGACGACAAAAAUAAAGCCUUAUCUCACAAGGUGGGGCCGGUUACAUAGAUCAAACAACGUCAUUGCAUCUUAUUAUGUAUUAUGUCUACAGUGAGAUAGUUCACACAAAGAUUUCGCUUGACCACUUCAUCCAUCGAAACAUCCUUAUUUCGGCCAUGUUGGACUAUGUUCAUGUUCACCCUUUGCUGCCCAACACUAUGCCACAUACAACAUGGCUGUUCUAGUGGCAAUAUGAUAAAGUUUACCUUUAGUUUUAAAGGUACUUAUUUAUUGCUUAUAAAAUCCAAAACACACCUCCAUUUUCACCAACAUGCUUGAAUCUUAUGGUUUACGCCAUCUUCUAUUUCUCCAUUGUCCUUAAUAAUACAAAUAAGAUACCUAAAUAUCUUUAGUUGUGGUAAAACAUUUUCUCCAAUUUUUUAUCUUCUGUGUUAGUCUUUCUCCUUUCAUUGCUAAACGUUCAUUCCAUCUACUCUGUCUUGAUGCAACUUAUUUGCAACCAUGUACUUCCAAAGCUUAUCUCCACAAAUACAACUUCUCAUUCAAAUCUUCCUGUGAUUUUCAUAAGGACUAUGUUAUGGGGGAAAGGCAUGCAUCAUACAACCUUCCCGUUCUUCUCAAAACCUUGCCUUGUGGUGUUCUUCCAAACUGACUUAUGGUGCACUAGCAUUAACCACAUGUAAGGCCUCCCCAUCUACAACCAAUUUUAAAGCGAUGAUUCGGUCACUCACCUUUUUAACAUCUACCAUGUCCUCCUUCCAUUGCUUAUUAACAACAAUGCCUACCCCAUUUCUAUUCUUCACCUUUUAUGUAUACCAAAACUUAAAACCUGAGGUGUCCAACUCCUUGGCCUUUGCUCCCACUCACUUUGUUUCUUGCAAGCACAUAAUGUUAAUCUUUCUUCUUAUCAUGGUAUCCACCACCUCUACGGAUUUUUCUGUAAGUGUGCCUAUAUUCCAUGUACUAAAGCGCGGCUUACCUUUUUCUUUGUAAAAUAGGUUAUUUACCCUCGUCCGUUCAUGAAGAUGUAGGAACCCUUGCUCAUUUGCACUACAUGCUGGCACCGAUGUGGCUGGCCCCUGUUCAUUUGACAUUUUACUCGAGCCAUACAGCGUCGCUUCCGAGCUUGGGACCUACUCUGUAGCAUAGGUAGAGGUAUUUUCUCCCCACACGAAAGAAGAAAAUAUUUUGACAAGGUCCACCUAAAAUUUUCCUCUCCCCUUUUCUCUUCUAUCAUUUCCGACUUUGAAAGAUUUGAACCCUGAUCAUUCUAACUUUGGAAUAUAUAAACCAACUCGAUAGUCGAUCCCCAUAAAAGAUGGAGUUAGUUUGGCAGAACUAAAAAUGGGUAGUUUGUUGGA